UACGUAGGUGGCGAGCGUUGUCCGGAUUUACUGGGCGUAAAGAGCGCGCAGGCGGUCGUACAAGUCGCGUGUGAAAGCCCCUGGCUCAACUGGGGAGGGUCACGCGAUACUGUUCGACUUGAAGGCAGGAGAGGGAAGUGGAAUUCCCGGUGUAGUGGUGAAAUGCGUAGAUAUCGGGAGGAACACCAAUGGCGAAGGCAGCUCGCUGGGACGGUACUGACGCUGAGACGCGAAAGCGUGGGGAGCAAACAGG
This 253-nucleotide ribosomal RNA is filed under the name uncultured bacterium. RNAcentral describes it as "partial 16S ribosomal RNA". It matches the Rfam family "Bacterial small subunit ribosomal RNA", at positions 524 to 776 of the family's 1533-position model. The record is from RNAcentral.